UAAGACCUGCGCUUUUGGAGCGGCCGAUGCCUGAUUAGCUAGUUGGUGGGGUAAUGGCCUACCAAAGCUUCGAUCAGUAGCUGGUCUGAGAGGACGGCCAGCCACACUGGGACUGAGACACGGCCCAGACUCCUACGGGAGGCAGCAGUGGGGAAUUUUGGACAAUGGGCGCAAGCCUGAUCCAGCCAUGCCGCGUGAGUGAAGAAGGCCUUCGGGUUGUAAAGCUCUUUCAGCCGGGAAGAAAAGGUUGCGAUUAAUAAUCGCAAUUUAUGACGGUACCGGAAGAAGAAGCACCGGCUAACUACGUGCCAGCAGCCGCGGUAAUACGUAGGGUGCGAGCGUUAAUCGGAAUUACUGGGCGUAAAGGGUGCGCAGGCGGUUUUGUAAGUCAGAUGUGAAAUCCCCGGGCUUAACCUGGGAACU
RNAcentral lists this ribosomal RNA (423 nucleotides) under uncultured bacterium. RNAcentral's name for it is "bacterial SSU rRNA". It matches the Rfam family "Bacterial small subunit ribosomal RNA", at positions 207 to 622 of the family's 1533-position model. The record is from RNAcentral.